CAUGCGCAGACUGCUCGGAAGUUGCUUCCCCGGAGUGCCGCCAUCUUUGUUCCUGGUCCCCCGGCGCGGCUCCCGCGUGUCUGAGACCUACGGAAAUGGCACCCGGAUCCAUGAGGAGGAGGAGUGACAUCAGAGUUUGUAUGCAAAUGAGAGGACAUCUUGUACAGCUCAGCAAAGGAAACCCCUAACACGGCGAGCCACCACGGAAUCAAAGGAUUUAAAUAACACUCCUGGCUGAGGAAUGAAUAUAGUUAUCUCCCUAGACCUUUUUAACCUCUUGCCCUAUCCAGCAGAGACGCUGGCUGCCAAGAGGAGCCCUGGCUUCAAACCAAGAGCAGGCCUCCUGGUGCUCCCACAAGGACGGAAGCCCCGGCUCUGCCUGCGCACCAGCGCACAAAGCUGCAGAUCUCCUCCUCCGCGUCACUCCUGGGAGCAGCAGCGGCGCUGUGUGCGUGACCCGUCGGGCCCCCGCCCGAAGCUGAGCCUAAUAAAGGCAUUAAAAAAGGA
Hirundo rustica (Barn swallow) is the source of this 507-nucleotide long non-coding RNA. RefSeq lists it as uncharacterized. The record is from RefSeq and is a predicted model, not a curated record. Lineage: Eukaryota; Metazoa; Chordata; Aves; Passeriformes; Hirundinidae. The transcript has 2 exons.